RNAcentral lists this ribosomal RNA (233 nucleotides) under uncultured bacterium. RNAcentral's name for it is "partial 16S ribosomal RNA". It matches the Rfam family "Bacterial small subunit ribosomal RNA", at positions 15 to 244 of the family's 1533-position model. The record is from RNAcentral.
GAUCAUGGCUCAGAGUGAACGCUGGCGGCAGGCCUAACACAUGCAAGUCGAACGGCAGCACAGAGGAGCUUGCUCCUUGGGUGGCGAGUGGCGGACGGGUGAGGAAUACAUCGGAAUCUGCCUAUUUGUGGGGGAUAACGUAGGGAAACUUACGCUAAUACCGCAUACGACCUACGGGUGAAAGCGGAGGACCUUCGGGCUUCGCGCAGAUAGAUGAGCCGAUGUCGGAUUAG